CUCAGUUUCAUAUUUGCUUUGGUUCUAAUAUCUAUGCUUAUCUAGGAUAUAUUUAGUUUUUGUAGUACAGAUUUGUGGUUGCCUUAGAUGGCACUUUGUAAAUUUCAAAUAAUAAAAAAAUCUCCAAUCAUAUGCAUGCCCAGGUCUUCAAUUGAUCCGAACACUAGGAGCAAUAAUGAGAAAAGCGAUUGAUUUAAUUAGAUUGGGAAUUAGGGUUUUCUUCCACGGA
Molecule: long non-coding RNA, 229 nt
Filed under: Elaeis guineensis (African oil palm)
Lineage: Eukaryota; Viridiplantae; Streptophyta; Magnoliopsida; Arecales; Arecaceae
Description: long non-coding RNA (EGUI_LNC040262)
Source: RNAcentral